This 253-nucleotide ribosomal RNA is filed under the name uncultured bacterium. RNAcentral's name for it is "partial 16S ribosomal RNA". It matches the Rfam family "Bacterial small subunit ribosomal RNA", at positions 524 to 776 of the family's 1533-position model. The record is from RNAcentral.
UACGUAGGGUGCGAGCGUUGUCCGGAAUUAUUGGGCGUAAAGAGCUCGUAGGCGGUUUGUUGCGUCGGCCGUGAAAACCUGCAGCUUAACUGUGGGCCUGCGGCCGAUACGGGCAGACUUGAGUUCGGUAGGGGAGACUGGAAUUCCUGGUGUAGCGGUGAAAUGCGCAGAUAUCAGGAGGAACACCGGUGGCGAAGGCGGGUCUCUGGGCCGAUACUGACGCUGAGGAGCGAAAGCGUGGGGAGCGAACAAG